RNAcentral lists this transfer RNA (74 nucleotides) under Nocardioides caeni. RNAcentral describes it as "Nocardioides sp. MN8 tRNA". It matches the Rfam family "tRNA". Rfam says of the family: Transfer RNA (tRNA) molecules are approximately 80 nucleotides in length. Their secondary structure includes four short double-helical elements and three loops (D, anti-codon, and T loops). The record is from Rfam by way of RNAcentral. Lineage: Bacteria; Bacillati; Actinomycetota; Actinomycetes; Propionibacteriales; Nocardioidaceae.
GCCUCCGUAGCUCAACUGGAUAGAGCUUCCGGUUUCUACCCGGAUGGUUGCGGGUUCGACUCCUGCCGGGGGCG